This 253-nucleotide ribosomal RNA is filed under the name uncultured bacterium. RNAcentral's name for it is "partial 16S ribosomal RNA". It matches the Rfam family "Bacterial small subunit ribosomal RNA", at positions 524 to 776 of the family's 1533-position model. The record is from RNAcentral.
UACAGAGGGUGCAAACGUUGUUCGGAAUUACUGGGCAUAAAGCGCACGUAGGUGGUCCGCUAAGUCGCGUGUGAAAUCCCCCGGCUCAACCGGGGAAAUGCGCGUGAUACUGGCGGGCUUGAGAUCGGGAGGGGUGAAUGGAACUCCAGGUGGAGCGGUGAAAUGCGUAGAUAUCUGGAGGAACACCGGUGGCGUAAGCGGUUCACUGGCCCGACACUGACACUGAGGUGCGAAAGCUAGGGUAGCAAACGGG